Molecule: ribosomal RNA, 114 nt
Filed under: Canis lupus familiaris (dog)
Lineage: Eukaryota; Metazoa; Chordata; Mammalia; Carnivora; Canidae
Also listed under: 2 other names
Source: RNAcentral
GUCUACGGCCAUACCACUACCACCCUGAAAGCACGCAAUCUCGUCUGAUCUUGGAAGCUAAGCAGGGUCAGGCCUGGUUAGUACUUGGAUGGGAGAAACAAUCAAUUAUUCACU